AGAGUUUGAUCCUGGCUCAGAACGAACGUUAGCGGCGCGCUUAACACAUGCAAGUCGCACGAGAAAGGGCUUCGGCCCCGGUACAGUGGCGCACGGGUGAGUAACACGUAGGUAAUCUGCCCUUGAGUGGUGGAUAACCCCUCGAAAGGGGGGCUAAUACAGCAUAAGACCACGUCCUCGAGAGGGGAUGAGGUCAAAGUGGGCCUCUUCAUGAAAGCUCACGCUUGGGGAUGAGCCUGCGGCCCAUCAGCUAGUUGGUAGGGUAACGGCCUACCAAGGCGAAGACGGGUAGCUGGUCUGAGAGGAUGAUCAGCCACACUGGAACUGAGACACGGUCCAGACUCCUACGGGAGGCAGCAGUGGGGAAUCUUGCGCAAUGGGCGAAAGCCUGACGCAGCGACGCCGCGUGGGUGAUGAAGGCCUUCGGGUUGUAAAGCCCUGUGGGGAGGGAAGAAUAGGCGGCGGAUAAUACCCGCCGUGAUGACGGUACCUCCUAGCAAG
This 501-nucleotide ribosomal RNA is filed under the name uncultured bacterium. RNAcentral describes it as "bacterial SSU rRNA". It matches the Rfam family "Bacterial small subunit ribosomal RNA", at positions 8 to 490 of the family's 1533-position model. The record is from RNAcentral.